UUGCACGCUGGCGGCAGGCCUCACACCUGCCAGUCGCACGGUAACAGGAAACAGCUUGCUGUUUCGCUGACGAGUGGCGGACGGGUGAGUAAUGUCUGGGAAACUGCCUGAUGGAGGGGGAUAACUACUGGAAACGGUAGCUAAUACCGCAUAACGUCGCAAGACCAAGAGGGGGACCCUCGGGCCUCUUGCCAUCGGAUGUGCCCAGAUGGGAUUAGCUUGUUGGUGGGGUAACGGCUCACCAAGGCGACGAUCCCUAGCUGGUCUGAGAGGAUGACCAGCCACACUGGAACUGAGACACGGUCCAGACUCCUACGGGAGGCAGCAGUGGGGAAUAUUGCACAAUGGGCGCAAGCCUGAUGCAGCCAUGCCGCGUGUAUGAAGAAGGCCUUCGGGUUGUAAUGUACUUUCAGCGGGGAGGAAGGGAGUAAAGUUAAUACCUUUGCUCAUUGACGUUACCCGCAGAAGAAGCACCGGCUAACUCCGUG
RNAcentral lists this ribosomal RNA (488 nucleotides) under uncultured bacterium. RNAcentral's name for it is "partial 16S ribosomal RNA". It matches the Rfam family "Bacterial small subunit ribosomal RNA", at positions 30 to 507 of the family's 1533-position model. The record is from RNAcentral.